This 440-nucleotide ribosomal RNA is filed under the name uncultured bacterium. RNAcentral's name for it is "partial 16S ribosomal RNA". It matches the Rfam family "Bacterial small subunit ribosomal RNA", at positions 338 to 795 of the family's 1533-position model. The record is from RNAcentral.
CCUACGGGGGGCAGCAGUGGGGAAUAUUGCACAAUGGGGGGAACCCUGAUGCAGCAACGCCGCGUGGGUGAAGAAGUACUCCGGUAUGUAAAGCCCUGUCAGCAGGGAAGAAAAUGACGGUACCUGACCAAGAAGCCCCGGCUAACUACGUGCCAGCAGCCGCGGUAAUACGUAGGGGGCAAGCGUUAUCCGGAUUUACUGGGUGUAAAGGGAGCGUAGACGGCAAGGCAAGUCUGGAGUGAAAGCCCGGGGCCCAACCACGGGACUGCUUUGGAAACUGUGUUGCUGGAGUGCAGGAGGGGUAAGCGGAAUUCCUAGUGUAGCGGUGAAAUGCGUAGAUAUUAGGAGGAACACCGGUGGCGAAGGCGGCUUACUGGACUGUAACUGACGUUGAGGCUCGAAGGCGUGGGGAGCAAACAGGAUUAGAUACCCUGGUAGUC